RNAcentral lists this ribosomal RNA (243 nucleotides) under uncultured Symbiodinium. Its description in RNAcentral is "partial Bacterial small subunit ribosomal RNA". It matches the Rfam family "Bacterial small subunit ribosomal RNA", at positions 463 to 705 of the family's 1533-position model. Lineage: Eukaryota; Dinophyceae; Suessiales; Symbiodiniaceae. The record is from RNAcentral.
AAGAUAAUGACGGUACCCGCAGAAGAAGCCCCGGCUAACUCCGUGCCAGCAGCCGCGGUAAUACGGAGGGUGCAAGCGUUAAUCGGAAUUACUGGGCGUAAAGCGCGCGUAGGCGGUUUGCCAAGUUGAGGGUGAAAUCCCGGGGCUCAACCCCGGAACUGCCUUCAAAACUGGCAGACUUGAGUCCGGAAGAGGAGAGUGGAAUUCCCAGUGUAGAGGUGAAAUUCGUAGAUAUUGGAAAGA